GAUUAUGGCUCAGGAUGAACGCUGGCGGCGUGCCUAACACAUGCAAGUCGAGCGAGAUACUGUUGAACAGAGAUUCGUCAACGGGAUACAGUGGAAAGCGGCGGACGGGUGAGUAACGCGUAGGCAACCUGCCCCUUACACAGGGAUAGCCAUUGGAAACGAUGAUUAAAACCUGAUGACACCUGAGGAUGACAUCUUCCUGAGGUCAAAGAUUUAUCGGUAAGGGAUGGGCCUGCGUCUGAUUAGAUAGUUGGUGAGGUAACGGCCCACCAAGUCAACGAUCAGUAGCCGACCUGAGAGGGUGAUCGGCCACAUUGGAACUGAGACACGGUCCAAACUCCUACGGGAGGCAGCAGUGGGGAAUAUUGCACAAUGGGGGAAACCCUGAAUGCAGCAACGCCGCGUGAAGGAAGAAGGUCUUCGGAUCGUAAACUUCUGUCCUAGAGGAAGAUAAUGACGGUACUCUUGGAGGAAGCCCCGGCUAACUACGUGCCAGCCGCCGC
Molecule: ribosomal RNA, 503 nt
Filed under: uncultured bacterium
Lineage: Bacteria
Description: bacterial SSU rRNA
Rfam family: Bacterial small subunit ribosomal RNA
Source: RNAcentral